RNAcentral lists this long non-coding RNA (200 nucleotides) under Elaeis guineensis (African oil palm). RNAcentral's name for it is "long non-coding RNA (EGUI_LNC056023)". The record is from RNAcentral. Lineage: Eukaryota; Viridiplantae; Streptophyta; Magnoliopsida; Arecales; Arecaceae.
CAAGAGGGCUUCCAUAUGUUUUUUGGAACAAGCAUAGUGUUGGAGGGAAGGUUCGGUGCAACUUCUCCUCAACCACCUCUUGGACGCAAUUGACCCAGCGGUGAUCAUGUCUGAAUCUUGACGAUCAUUACCUACAAGCUUAGGAGGUGUGUUAAGAUAUCCAACUAACUCUUUCAGUGUAUGUAGCAUCUUCUUGACCC